Long non-coding RNA from Coturnix japonica (Japanese quail), 1035 nucleotides. RefSeq lists it as uncharacterized. Lineage: Eukaryota; Metazoa; Chordata; Aves; Galliformes; Phasianidae. The record is from RefSeq and is a predicted model, not a curated record.
CAGCAUAAGAAGUCAAGUCCCGUGUCAUGGACAUGCGCCACAAACCAUAUUUCUUGGCCGAUAUUUUAUUUAAUGUAGUAUUUUCUUCUUUUUGCAGAUGAAGAAGACCUGGGAAUGUUUUACACCUGCACUUUUCAUCCCCGAGCCCAUGCAUUGCUGAUAGAUAUCUGAGUACUUCAGCCCUGUUGUUCUCUGCAAUUGUUCUCUGUUAUUUCUCUGUAGAAGCUGCUGUGUGGGAGGCAGGAGGGACUUCCGCCAUGCCAAAAAACCACUCCAUACCUGCUUCAGCAUUCAGAGGCCAUCUCUAGGUGACCACACAUGCUGGUGUUGUUCCAUGACUGCUUUGGAAAGCACAGCCCUGUUCCUGGCUGUGAGAAACCUGGCACUGCUGAGUGAUGAAACUGCUGUUGUGCGUGAAAGUGAGCUGGAAAACAAAGAAUGCAACAAGACAGCGAGUUGGGUCAAGCAGCAUCACCACAGCAGGAGGCAUGCCUGGGAUGUGAGAUGAAAUAGGGCAUCCCUUUGACUUCAGCCUUCUUUCAGGACCUUCAAAUGAAGAAAAAUUGUGGUUGAAGGAGAAGCGUUCAAUGAAAUAAGGACCGAUGAGUACUUUUUUGUUGAGAUAAAACCGAGUUACUGCUGUUGAGUUACACCUCAGAUGGACUUGGCCACAAAGGCCAGAGAUGCGUUGUGAAAUCUGAUGGCAGAAGCAGCAAAACCAUCUGCUGGUGGUGAGUUUGUUGAGCAUGGACAGCAUCGGAGAUGCAAUUGGCCCUGAUUAAAAGGGGGGUUUCCCUCAAAUCUGUUGGUGUCAGUCAGCUCUUGCAGGGUGGUCUGAAGAAACAGACAAACCUGUGUAAAGCUGCUAUUUCAGGAGAUUUCCUUUGGCCGGAGAUGAAAUCCUUGAUGCUACAGAUACGACUCAACUCACUGUUUGCAUGGGAGGUAUUGAUACGAAGCAUGACGUCACUGAAGAAAUGGAUUCCUCGGUGCCAUCAAAAGACACAAAGAAAUCAAUAUGGAUGUGGACAAAGA